This 790-nucleotide long non-coding RNA is filed under the name Olea europaea subsp. europaea. The record is from RNAcentral. Lineage: Eukaryota; Viridiplantae; Streptophyta; Magnoliopsida; Lamiales; Oleaceae.
AAAACAAAAUACACAAUUUCUCUCCUCUCCCCCAAUUCAUCGUGUCUCUCCCAUUCUUCUCUCAUUCCCUGCCAUAGAGAUUUCAAUCUUUAAAAUCUUAAUUGGAUCUUUAACAUUAGCGAUUGAAGCCCGCUUUUGCCUCCUUCUCAGUAGACAUCAUCCGUUAAAGAUAAGAAAUAGUUAUCUGAGUACGUGUAUGAACAAACCUUCAAGGUAAUCUGAUUUUACCAUUUAUGAGAUUAGUUCACUGCAAAUGGGUCUAAUUUUGAACACAUACAACCCAUUCGUCUCUUGAAUUCUGAAGUCCAAGUUAAGGAUUUAAUAAUAGAGAUUGUUGAUUGAAAGUUUUAAUUUAUUUUUUUCAGAAAAGUUGUUAAAUCUAUAGCAUUUAGUUAAUAAUGCAGUUAAUAUUGAUCAUUUCUUUUUAAUGGGAAUGGUUAACUGAAGUAGUCUGAUUUUUAGUUUUAAUUGAAAUUGCUUGCAUGUUGUCAAACUAUUUGAUUAAUUGCCUAAGUGAUUAUCUUCAAACUGAUUUUGAUAAUAUGAACUGGGGAGUAAAGUUUUUUUGUUUAAAUAUUGUCUUUGUCAGUGGCAUGGAAUUAUUGCCUUGUUUUCAAAAUGAUUUGUGUCUUAUGAUUAGUCUUUUGAACAUUUUGAAGGACAACAUUCAAUUUUAGAAUGGAUGAUAGCUACUCUAUUUAAGGAAUACAAAUUGUUCCCAAAGUAUUCUGUAAGGCACUUCAAAUCACCCCAUUUCAUUUUGGUAAGCUCUUAUUAUAUAUUUUGUAAA